This is a long non-coding RNA of Helicoverpa armigera (cotton bollworm), 410 nucleotides long. RefSeq lists it as uncharacterized. Lineage: Eukaryota; Metazoa; Arthropoda; Insecta; Lepidoptera; Noctuidae. The record is from RefSeq and is a predicted model, not a curated record. The transcript has 2 exons.
GAAGAUCAAGGACACUUUUUAUCUGACGACAAGUAAUCAAGGCGUGGUCGGUCAGGUCCGUAUAUAAGCCGGGACGGAUCGGCAAACAGUAUCACUUGUGACAACAAUCCCAAGUAACUCUACAACCAUGUUCUUCAGACUGUUCGCCCUCUUCGCCGUGUUGGCCGUGGCUUUCGCCAACCCCAAGCCUGAGCCCCAGGUGGUGACCUACGCCGCCGGAGCUGCUGCGUAUCCCUACGCCUACUCUGCUUACGCCCCCGUCGCCUACUCUGCUCCCUACGCCGCCGCUGCCUACCCCUACGGAGCAGCAUACUACGUCCGCUAAACCAGAUUCACCAGAUACACUUCUACCUGCUCAAUGACACCGACCAAAUGUUUGAUCAUGUUUUAAUAUAAGUUUUUAUGGCAAA